This 69-nucleotide transfer RNA is filed under the name Marmota monax (woodchuck). RNAcentral describes it as "tRNA.Ala". The record is from RNAcentral. Lineage: Eukaryota; Metazoa; Chordata; Mammalia; Rodentia; Sciuridae.
UGGUUGUGGCUCAGUGGUAGAGCGCUUGCCUAGCAUGCACUAGGCCCUGGGUUCGAUCCUCAACACCAA